RNAcentral lists this ribosomal RNA (465 nucleotides) under Vreelandella stevensii. Its description in RNAcentral is "partial 16S ribosomal RNA". It matches the Rfam family "Bacterial small subunit ribosomal RNA", at positions 338 to 795 of the family's 1533-position model. Lineage: Bacteria; Pseudomonadati; Pseudomonadota; Gammaproteobacteria; Oceanospirillales; Halomonadaceae. The record is from RNAcentral.
CCUACGGGGGGCUGCAGUGGGGAAUAUUGGACAAUGGGGGCAACCCUGAUCCAGCCAUGCCGCGUGUGUGAAGAAGGCCCUCGGGUUGUAAAGCACUUUCAGUGAGGAAGAACGCCUGGUGGUUAAUACCCAUCAGGAAAGACAUCACUCACAGAAGAAGCACCGGCUAACUCCGUGCCAGCAGCCGCGGUAAUACGGAGGGUGCGAGCGUUAAUCGGAAUUACUGGGCGUAAAGCGCGCGUAGGUGGCUUGAUAAGCCGGUUGUGAAAGCCCCGGGCUCAACCUGGGAACGGCAUCCGGAACUGUCAAGCUCGAGUGCAGGAGAGGAAGGUAGAAUUCACGGUGUAGCGGUGAAAUGCGUAGAGAUCGGGAGGAAUACCAGUGGCGAAGGCGGCCUUCUGGACUGACACUGACACUGAGGUGCGAAAGCGUGGGUAGCAAACAGGAUUAGAUACCCCGGUAGUC